GACGAACGCUGGCGGCGUGCCUAAUACAUGCAAGUCGAACGAACCGCGACUACGUGCUUGCACUUGGUCAAGGUGAGUGGCGAACGGGUGAGUAACACGUGGGUAACCUACCUCAUAGUGGGGAUAACAGUCGGAAACGACUGCUAAUACCGCAUAGGACAUAGGAUCACAUGAUCCAGUGAGGAAAGGUGGCGCACACUAUCGCUAAGAGAUGGACCCGCGGUGCAUUAGCUAGUUGGUAGGGUAAAGGCCUACCAAGGCGAUGAUGCAUAGCCGACCUGAGAGGGUGAUCGGCCACAUUGGAACUGAGACACGGCCCAAACUCCUACGGGAGGCAGCAGUAGGGAAUCUUCCGCAAUGGACGCAAGUCUGACGGAGCAACGCCGCGUGAGUGAAGAAGGUCUUCGGAUCGUAAAGCUCUGUUGUUAGAGAAGAACAGCGCAUAGAGUAACUGUUAUGCGUGUGACGGUAUCUAACCAGAAAGCCACGGCUAACUACGUG
Molecule: ribosomal RNA, 501 nt
Filed under: uncultured bacterium
Lineage: Bacteria
Description: partial 16S ribosomal RNA
Rfam family: Bacterial small subunit ribosomal RNA
Source: RNAcentral